Lathyrus oleraceus (garden pea) is the source of this 1492-nucleotide long non-coding RNA. RefSeq lists it as uncharacterized. The record is from RefSeq and is a predicted model, not a curated record. The transcript has 2 exons. NCBI's taxonomy places the organism in Eukaryota, Viridiplantae, Streptophyta, Magnoliopsida, Fabales, Fabaceae.
GCUGAACACUACAAAUUCCACGGAAACUCGGUCUGAAGCUCCAAAUGCAACGACUCUUCAACUACGCCACUCUUCCAACCUGCUUCGCCUCCCCUAAUCUCGUUUUUAAAUCGAAACAAACCGAAGCUAUGAACCACUUCGCAUCCGGAAUUAUCAUCUUCCUAAUCGACACCGCCCCCUCUACCGAACCAGAAGUGCAGGAAUCUCCACCGUGGUAACAAGCACGCAUCCAAGAAUUUCUCUCAAGAAUGGAACAAAGACGAACAAGGCGAAGAAUCGUGGAUCCGAAAUCAUAUCCAGAAAUCGCAUUACUCGUUCAACCUUCCAACUCUAACCAACUUUAUGCGUUCAAAAAAGAAAUGAAGCAAGCGACACCAUGAAUCGAGGAUUGAAGCGAUAAGGUAGAAGGAAACUCACUGGAUUCGGAUCGUGACACAGUGGCAAAACAUGUAUCAAACUCCUUCUUGGUAUACUUCUUCUUCCUCCCCGUUCCCUCCGCGUUCUUCGAUUCCUUCACUCUUGCGCGUGUAUACGGUUAUGGCUGAAAGAACUCUGAAACUCGGUAUUUCUCCUCCUCUCUGAUGCAGCGUGAGUGUGCUAAACCUUGAUCCCCGAAUGAGGAGAUGCUAUGCUCGAUAUUUAUAGAUGGAAAGUCAUUAUCAUUCUGUUGCAAAAUGUAAAUGUAAUUCACUUGAAAGCAAUCUGAGUUAGUUGGAAAUGAGUAAUUUUGUUAGAGUUAGUUAUCGAUUCGAAUUCAGUUAAUGGGAUAGUUUUAUUUUGGUGUACUUGCUCUGUUAGUUUAUUAUGGAACCCUUCGGUUUGUGGUCUAAUUAAAGAAUUUGCAGGUGGAAAUUGUUAGUAUCUUUUACUUGAUGUGUGCAAGGCUAUGUGUUUCGAAUUUUUUUACUUGGGAGUUCUGUUUGAAAAAGAGUGCGGGUAGAAAUUAUGCAUUAUGCAGGAGCUUCAUUUGGUAGUUGUUAAAAAAUACAGAAUUCUGCAGGUUGAAUGUUUUGGGAACUCUUCUAUUAUCCCUCACUUGGUAUGUUUGACACAUUGAGUUGUUGUUGGAACUAAAGGCCUGUGUGGAAAGCUUGAGUAGGAAUGGAUUAAUGCUUAGGAAUUGCAAUGGAAUUGUAUAUUUGAAUGUGUAUAGAUUUGUAUUCAAUGUUAUUUGGAAAGUUUGAAUGUUUGGGUUUAUGUUAAUUUGUGAAUGGGAUAAUGUUUUUGUAUUGAAUGAAAGUUAUUGAGGAUGUAUUAAUAGAAUGUUUAUUUAUGGAAAUAGUUUAUGAUUUAUGUGAGCAUAGUCAAAAAAAAAAAGUUUAAAGUCACUUGAUUAAAAAAAAAGAGGAAAAUAGUUAUGGUUUAAGUGGAUGGGAAGGAAUAGGUAAUGGGACUUAGGACUAGGUUAUUGUUUUUGAUUGACUUGGUUGUAAAGUGUAAGGCAUGUACAUGAGUUUUAAAAAUGAAUGAAGGUUGUAUUUUUUUGAAUGCA